This 200-nucleotide ribosomal RNA is filed under the name uncultured bacterium. RNAcentral's name for it is "partial 16S ribosomal RNA". It matches the Rfam family "Bacterial small subunit ribosomal RNA", at positions 30 to 228 of the family's 1533-position model. The record is from RNAcentral.
AUUGAACGCUGGCGGCGUGCUUAACACAUGCAAGUCGAACGAUGAAGGGGAGCUUGCUCCUCGGGUUAGUGGCGAACGGGUGAGUAACACGUGAGUAACCUGCCCUUGACUCUGGGAUAAGCACUGGAAACGGUGUCUAAUACCGGAUACGAACCUCAGCCGCAUGGCUAGGGGUUGGAAAGAACUUCGGUCAAGGAUGG